RNAcentral lists this ribosomal RNA (492 nucleotides) under uncultured bacterium. RNAcentral describes it as "partial 16S ribosomal RNA". It matches the Rfam family "Bacterial small subunit ribosomal RNA", at positions 29 to 507 of the family's 1533-position model. The record is from RNAcentral.
AGUGAACGCUGGCGGUAGGCCUAACACAUGCAAGUCGAACGGCAGCACAGUAAGAGCUUGCUCUUACGGGUGGCGAGUGGCGGACGGGUGAGGAAUACAUCGGAAUCUACUUUUUCGUGGGGGAUAGCGUGGGGAAGCUUACGCUAAUACCGCAUACUACCUACGGCUGAAAGCAGGGGAUCUUCGGACCUUGCGCGAUUGAAUGAGCCGAUGUCGGAUUAGCUAGUUGGCGGGGUAAAGGCUCACCAAGGCGACGAUCCGUAGCUGGUCUGAGAGGAUGAUCAGCCACACUGGAACUGAGACACGGUCCAGACUCCUACGGGAGGCAGCAGUGGGGAAUAUUGGACAAUGGGCGCAAGCCUGAUCCAGCCAUACCGCGUGGGUGAAGAAGGCCUUCGGGUUGUAAAGCCCUUUUGUUGGGAAAGAAAAGCAGCAGGUUAAUACCCCGCUGUUCUGACGGUACCCAAAGAAUAAGCACCGGCUAACUUCGUG